CCCCUCUCAGGUCUGCACCUAGAGAGUUCCCAGUACUCUAUCAGUCUCGGCUACAGGAGGGAGAAUCAAGCAGAGGUAUGCCCAUUCCACUCCUAGCUUGAGCAGUGGCUAGUGAGGGGAAGGCAAUCUGCUACAAGU
Small nucleolar RNA from Ornithorhynchus anatinus (platypus), 138 nucleotides. Lineage: Eukaryota; Metazoa; Chordata; Mammalia; Monotremata; Ornithorhynchidae. The record is from RefSeq and is a predicted model, not a curated record.